RNAcentral lists this ribosomal RNA (397 nucleotides) under uncultured bacterium. RNAcentral's name for it is "partial 16S ribosomal RNA". It matches the Rfam family "Bacterial small subunit ribosomal RNA", at positions 523 to 918 of the family's 1533-position model. The record is from RNAcentral.
AUACGUAGGUGACAAGCGUUAUCCGGAUUUACUGGGCGUAAAGGGCGUGUAGGCGGUCUUGCAAGUCAGAAGUGAAAUUCCUGAGCUCAACUCGGGCGCUGCUUCUGAAACUGCAGGACUUGAGUGCUGGAGGGGAUAGCGGAAUUCCUAGUGGAGCGGUAAAAUGCGCAGAUAUUAGGAAGAACACCGGUGGCGAAGGCGGCUAUCUGGACAGUAACUGACGCUGAGGCGCGAAAGCGUGGGGAGCAAACAGGAUUAGAUACCCUGGUAGUCCACGCCGUAAACGAUGGAUACUAGGUGUAGAGGGUAUCGACCCCUUCUGUGCCGCAGCGAACGCAAUAAGUAUCCCGCCUGGGGAGUACGGUCGCAAGACUGAAACUCAAAUGAAUUGACGGGG